CGGGGGGGCAAGCGUUGUUCGGAAUUACUGGGCGUAAAGGGCGCGUAGGCGGCCUUCUAAGUCGGACGUGAAAUCCCCCGGCUCAACCGGGGAACUGCGUCCGAUACUGGAGGGCUUGAAUCCGGGAGAGGGAUGUGGAAUUCCAGGUGUAGCGGUGAAAUGCGUAGAUAUCUGGAGGAACACCGGUGGCGAAGGCGGCAUCCUGGACCGGUAUUGACGCUGAGGCGCGAAAGCCAGGGGAGCAAACGGGAUUAGAUACCCCGGUAGUCCUGGCCCUAAACGAUGAGUGCUUGGUGUGGCGGGUAUCGAUCCCUGCCGUGCCGAAGCUAACGCAUUAAGCACUCCGCCUGGGGAGUACGGUCGCAAGGCUG
RNAcentral lists this ribosomal RNA (371 nucleotides) under uncultured organism. Its description in RNAcentral is "bacterial SSU rRNA". It matches the Rfam family "Bacterial small subunit ribosomal RNA", at positions 527 to 896 of the family's 1533-position model. The record is from RNAcentral.